GCUAAUUCAACUACUCAGAAUAUAGAUCUUUGCAGGGACAUUUAAGAUCAUCCCACUAUAAUCUGGUUGAUUGGAUUUGCUGGUGCCAGGUAACUUCAGUGGUAUAAAGCAAAUAUUUCCCAAACACUGCCUUCCUGGAAGUAGUCAGAUUGUUUCCACUGUGCAAUGUGUAAAGUUUUCACUCUGGCCAAGAGCUUGAAGCCAAAUGGGGGUGUGCCAGAUGAGAACAGAGGAAAGGGAACAACUGUGGUGACUGCUGUUACAGCAGCGAACACUUCACCACAUCUGGGCCAGUGAGAUGAAGAAAGCAGAAACCCCCUGUAUUCCUCACAAAGACAGUUAUGUGUCUCUUAGAGAAAACCUUGUUAUUGGUUAAAAACGUUCCACACCUUAGGAACAUGUCAGCUUCAAAAAAUCACAGACACCUCUUAGCUAGUUUUUCAAGUC
RNAcentral lists this long non-coding RNA (447 nucleotides) under Bos taurus (domestic cattle). RNAcentral describes it as "long non-coding RNA NONBTAT019847". The record is from RNAcentral. Lineage: Eukaryota; Metazoa; Chordata; Mammalia; Artiodactyla; Bovidae.